This 582-nucleotide ribosomal RNA is filed under the name Vibrio sp. KR04-95. RNAcentral describes it as "partial 16S ribosomal RNA". It matches the Rfam family "Bacterial small subunit ribosomal RNA", at positions 100 to 677 of the family's 1533-position model. Lineage: Bacteria; Pseudomonadati; Pseudomonadota; Gammaproteobacteria; Vibrionales; Vibrionaceae. The record is from RNAcentral.
GGACGGGUGAGUAAUGCCUGGGAAAUUGCCCUGAUGUGGGGGAUAACCAUUGGAAACGAUGGCUAAUACCGCAUAAUGUCUACGGACCAAAGAGGGGGACCUUCGGGCCUCUCGCUUCAGGAUAUGCCCAGGUGGGAUUAGCUAGUUGGUGAGGUAAUGGCUCACCAAGGCGACGAUCCCUAGCUGGUCUGAGAGGAUGAUCAGCCACACUGGAACUGAGACACGGUCCAGACUCCUACGGGAGGCAGCAGUGGGGAAUAUUGCACAAUGGGCGCAAGCCUGAUGCAGCCAUGCCGCGUGUAUGAAGAAGGCCUUCGGGUUGUAAAGUACUUUCAGUCGUGAGGAAGGCAUUAACGUUAAUAGCGUUNGUGUUUGACGUUAGCGACAGAAGAAGCACCGGCUAACUCCGUGCCAGCNNNCGCGGUAAUACGGAGGGUGCGAGCGUUAAUCGGAAUUACUGGGCGUANAGCGCAUGCAGGUGGUUUGUNNNNUCANAUGNGNNAGNCCCGGGGCUCNNCCUCGGAACCGCAUUUGAAACUGGCAGGCUAGAGUANUGUANAGGGGGGUAGAAUUUCAGGUGUA